UUUCCUGAGGAAGGCUCGUCCGCUCAGGGUUAGUCGGGACCUAAGCCGAGGCCGAAAGGCGUAGGCGAUGGACAACAGGUUGAUAUUCCUGUACCACCUCCUCACCAUUUGAGCAAUGGGGGGACGCAGGAGGAUAGGGCAAGCGCGGUAUUGGAUAUCCGCGUCCAAGCAGUUAGGCUGGGAAAUAGGCAAAUCCGUUUCCCGUAAGGCUGAGCUGUGAUGGCGAGCGAAAUAUAGUAGCGAAGUUCCUGAUUCCACACUGCCAAGAAAAGCCUCUAGCGAGGUGAGAGGUGCCCGUACCGCAAACCGACACAGGUAGGCGAGGAGAGAAUCCUAAGGUGAUCGAGAGAACUCUCGUUAAGGAACUCGGCAAAAUGACCCCGUAACUUCGGGAGAAGGGGUGCUCUGUUAGG
RNAcentral lists this ribosomal RNA (413 nucleotides) under Bacillus licheniformis. RNAcentral's name for it is "bacterial LSU rRNA". It matches the Rfam family "Bacterial large subunit ribosomal RNA", at positions 1351 to 1760 of the family's 2925-position model. The record is from RNAcentral. Lineage: Bacteria; Bacillati; Bacillota; Bacilli; Caryophanales; Bacillaceae.